RNAcentral lists this ribosomal RNA (450 nucleotides) under uncultured bacterium. RNAcentral's name for it is "partial 16S ribosomal RNA". It matches the Rfam family "Bacterial small subunit ribosomal RNA", at positions 354 to 796 of the family's 1533-position model. The record is from RNAcentral.
GUGGGGAAUAUUGGACAAUGGGCGAAAGCCUGAUCCAGCCAUGCCGCGUGUGUGAAGAAGGUCUUCGGAUUGUAAAGCACUUUAAGUUGGGAGGAAGGGCAGUAAGUUAAUACCUUGCUGUUUUGACGUUACCAACAGAAUAAGCACCGGCUAACUUCGUGCCAGCAGCCGCGGUAAUACGAAGGGUGCAAGCGUUAAUCGGAAUUACUGGGCGUAAAGCGCGCGUAGGUGGUUCAGCAAGUUGAAGGUGAAAUCCCCGGGCUCAACCUAGGAACUGCCUGCAAAACUGCAUGACUAGAGUAGGGUAGAGGGUAGUGGAAUUUCCUGUGUAGCGGUGAAAUGCGUAGAUAUAGGAAGGAACACCAGUGGCGAAGGCGACUACCUGGACUGAUACUGACACUGAGGUGCGAAAGCGUGGGGAGCAAACAGGAUUAGAAACCCGGGUAGUCC